UACGGAGGGGGUUAGCGUUGUUCGGAAUUACUGGGCGCAAAGCGAACGUAGGCGGCUUUCUAAGUCAGGGGUGAAAUCCCGGGGCUCAACCCCGGAACUGCCCUUGAAACUGGAAGGCUAGAAUCCUGGAGAGGCGAGUGGAAUUCCGAGUGUAGAGGUGAAAUUCGUAGAUAUUCGGAAGAACACCAGUGGCGAAGGCGACUCGCUGGACAGGUAUUGACGCUGAGGUUCGAAAGCGUGGGGAGCAAACAGG
RNAcentral lists this unclassified non-coding RNA (253 nucleotides) under uncultured Sphingomonadaceae bacterium. RNAcentral's name for it is "contains 16S-23S intergenic spacer region". It matches the Rfam family "Bacterial small subunit ribosomal RNA", at positions 524 to 776 of the family's 1533-position model. Lineage: Bacteria; Pseudomonadati; Pseudomonadota; Alphaproteobacteria; Sphingomonadales; Sphingomonadaceae. The record is from RNAcentral.